AUGGCUGAUGUGCCAGCCAAGUUUGGGGACCAUGAACCAAAAUAUACAGAUGAUUCUAUCCUGAAUGGGGCCGUGUCUCGCCACCACUGCCCAGGCCAGGCAUGGUGUUGGGCGCCAGGCCUUCCUCACCUGUCUUGGGGUGCCCAGGGUAAAGGCAGGAUUAACGUUGACACCUGUAAGCAAACUGAAGUGCAGUGCGAUGACAGUCUCAAAGGGUCUGGGACGUCAGCCAUAGCAUCCGGCCCUACUCAGAGGGUUCUGUGAGAGAUAAGUUGAUUGUUAAAAGAGAUUGCAGAGCUUGAGCUUAUUUACCUUGUACAUGUCAAGUGUAUUUCCUGUUCUAAAAAGCUUCAUUGCUUUCUGCUGACUGUAACCCCAGACGAGGGUUACUACUAGGGUGGAAAAUUUCAGCUCGAAACUGGGCUUCCUGAUGCAUACAACGUGGUGCCUUCCAAAGUGAAAUGCCUGACCAGGAUCUGGUACCCUAACAUCACAGAGAUGGGGGAAGUAUGUCUAAAGUUUACUGAGGACAUUCGUUUGACAGCACUGGCAAGACUCCCACGAGAACAUUAAAGGAUGUUAUUUGGAGAUUAAAUUAUUUGUUUACUAAUCUUAUGAAUUUUGAUGAUCCACUGAAUGUUGAAGCUGCAAAACAUCAUUUGUGGGACAAGGAGGACUUCUUGAAUAAAGUCUGACUACAUCAAGUGUUAAUGCCAGAUGAUAAAAGGAGAAGAUUGCAGGCCCGUGGACUAUGUGUUAAAGUUUGUCUCUAAUGUGAAAAAGCAGCAAGAGGCAUUGCCUUCUCUCCCCUGUCCCCUGACUCUCCCUCUCAUUCCCCUGGAUUGUCCCAGUCCUGUGACCAUGUUGUCCUGAAGAAGACCAUCUUCAUGACUGCCCAUUGUAGGUGGAGAAUUCAACAUGAAGACAGCAAGAAAACGUAUUUAGGUUUCUAAAGAGUUAUCUGCUUGUCUUAUGUUUUAGGCUGUUCUUGCAUUGCUAUAAAUACCCAAGACUGGGUGAUUUAUAAAGAAAAGAGGUGUAAUUGGCUUAUCGUUCUGCAGGCUGUACAAGCAUGGCACUGGCAUCUACUUGGCUUCUGGGGAGGCCUCAGGGAGCUUUUACUCAUGGUGGAAGGUGAAGCAGGAGCAGGCACAUCAUGUGGCGAGAGUGGAAACGAGAGUGCAAGGGGGACAGCCAGAUCUCAUGAGAACUUACUGUUGUGUUGAAAGCACCACACCGUGAGGGAUCCACCCCGAUGACCCAAAUACCUCCCACCAGGACUCACCUCCAACACUGGGGAUUACAUCUCAACACGAUAUUUGGAAGAGACGUCUAAACUAUAUCACCUUAACAUGUUUACUUUUUUGAACUCAUACUGUUUAGGCUGUUGGUGAUGCUCUUGAGAAGUUGUAAUGAACUCAAAAUUGAGGCUGGAGCUUUCUUAUUCUUUUCCCCAACAAAAUUGGUUUUCUCCUGAAGUGAUGCUCAUGAUGUGUUCAGUGUUAACUUGCAGAUUGGAAUAAGAAACCUAUUACAGAUUGUGAUUGUAUACAAAUGCCCUUAGUAUCCUCUGUGAAUGUUGGCCCUAUCUAUCUACAUGUGAAGUUUCCCAGAAUGCAUAAAGUCUUUCACUGGAGACAUUUUUAUUGAAAUGCGUAUUUUAUUUAAGUAUAUUUUGGACCAAUUAAAUUAAAUUUUUACAAUGUAAUGCUUUA
Nomascus leucogenys (northern white-cheeked gibbon) is the source of this 1715-nucleotide RNA transcript. It is a transcript of the gene named NEDD8-conjugating enzyme UBE2F pseudogene, with no coding region annotated. The transcript is spliced from 2 exons. The record is from RefSeq and is a predicted model, not a curated record. NCBI's taxonomy places the organism in Eukaryota, Metazoa, Chordata, Mammalia, Primates, Hylobatidae.